Molecule: ribosomal RNA, 252 nt
Filed under: uncultured bacterium
Lineage: Bacteria
Description: partial 16S ribosomal RNA
Rfam family: Bacterial small subunit ribosomal RNA
Source: RNAcentral
AGUAACACGUGAGUGACCUGCCUUUUAGACUGGAACAACUUACCGAAAGGUGAGCUAAUGCCGGAUGAGUUAUAUAAGUGCAUGUUUAUAUAGGAAAAGUUGGGGAGACCUGACGCUGAAAGAUGGACUCGCGUCCCAUUAGCUAGUUGGUAGGGUAAUGGCCUACCAAGGCGACGAUGGGUAGCCGGCCUGAGAGGGUGGCCGGCCACAUUGGGACUGAGACACGGCCCAGACUCCUACGGAAGGCAGCAG